Pecten maximus is the source of this 774-nucleotide long non-coding RNA. RefSeq lists it as uncharacterized. The record is from RefSeq and is a predicted model, not a curated record. The transcript has 3 exons. Lineage: Eukaryota; Metazoa; Mollusca; Bivalvia; Pectinida; Pectinidae.
UCUUUGAUACCGGGGUUAAACGUGAGUCCAGUAUACAAUACCUUGUUUGUAAUUAGUCUUGGUUAAAAUCCGUCAUUACUUAAAGCAUUUCGGCUCAUUAGUAGAUAUGUAAAUAGUGUGUACAAUCAAUCAAUGUUAGUGUUAGUAAACCUGUGUUUAUCCUGUUAAUACAUUAAUCAGGUACGUACUUGCUUGUCUACCUCACAAGACUUACAGAGCGGUCGUCGAUUGCUAUAUUUGGAUACCAGGUGUGGUGUUGUAAGUGAAGCACUCACCGACAACGAUAAAUGGGAGCCGGUAGUCAUUCAAAGGCUUCUGUUAAAUCAAACCCUCGUCACCCAAGUGACGAUGGUUCGUUACCGACAUGUGAACCAUGUCAAGAACAAGGUCUAGGUCAUGUGCGUACUUCCGUUUCUUUCUGUGUGCAGUGCAGACAGUUUUGUUGCCAAGUAUGCGCAGAGAAUCACCGGAAGUUCAAAGGCAAGUGAAGUGUAAAGUGAUAUAUAAUGUAAUACAUGGGUGCAGUGAGUGUUGAAUUGUAAUCACACGAUUCAAAAUAAUGGCAAUUUAAUUUAAAAACAAAAUAAUACAAUUUUGUACUUACAGUGAAGUUGGUAACUCACCAUUCAUUCAUAAAUCCUAAAUAUUGCCAUACAUAAUAGACUCACUGAUACAUGUUCUUAUUUAACUCGAUACCAUAAUGUGCUUCUAAAUCAUCAUAUUCAUUUUCUAUUGAACCAGGUUUUUCUAUUUGAAUUACAUUUCCCUUUUCCA